Molecule: non-coding RNA, 91 nt
Organism: Daucus carota subsp. sativus
Lineage: Eukaryota; Viridiplantae; Streptophyta; Magnoliopsida; Apiales; Apiaceae
Source: Rfam
UUUAUGUUGUGAUGAUAUAUGAAUUUAUUCAAUAACUUCAUAGAUUUCGAAAGAAAUCAAUGAGAAUUCAAUUCAUUAUACUGAGCAGAAA